CAGCUCGAGUUUCUCUUCAUUAUCGCAUAUAUCUUUCGCCUUUUACUAAAGAUUUCCGUGGAGGGGAGCGUUUGUGAGUGUUCUGUUUUUUUGGGGGCUCUGCUUAUGGCAGAGCC
Small nuclear RNA from Ctenopharyngodon idella (grass carp), 116 nucleotides. RefSeq annotates it as U5 spliceosomal RNA. The transcript has a single exon. The record is from RefSeq and is a predicted model, not a curated record. Lineage: Eukaryota; Metazoa; Chordata; Actinopteri; Cypriniformes; Xenocyprididae.